Molecule: ribosomal RNA, 108 nt
Filed under: Dictyosphaerium sp. CCAP 222/25
Lineage: Eukaryota; Viridiplantae; Chlorophyta; Trebouxiophyceae; Chlorellales; Chlorellaceae
Description: partial 28S ribosomal RNA
Rfam family: Eukaryotic large subunit ribosomal RNA
Source: RNAcentral
UCGACCUGAGCUCAGGCAAGGCUACCCGCUGAACUUAAGCAUAUCAAUAAGCGGAGGAAAAGAAACUAACCAGGAUUCCCCUAGUAACGGCGAGUGAACCGGGAAGAG